AGCGAACGCUGGCGGCAGGCUUAACACAUGCAAGUCGAGCGGGCACCUUUCGGGGUGUCAGCGGCGGACGGGUGAGUAACGCGUGGGAACGUGCCCUCUGGUUCGGAAUAACUCAGGGAAACUUGAGCUAAUACCGGAUACGCCCUUUUGGGGAAAGGCUUGCUGCCGGAGGAUCGGCCCGCGUCUGAUUAGCUAGUUGGUGGGGUAACGGCUCACCAAGGCGACGAUCAGUAGCUGGUCUGAGAGGAUGAUCAGCCACACUGGGACUGAGACACGGCCCAGACUCCUACGGGAGGCAGCAGUGGGGAAUAUUGGACAAUGGGCGCAAGCCUGAUCCAGCCAUGCCGCGUGAGUGAUGAAGGCCUUAGGGUUGUAAAGCUCUUUUAUCCGGGACGAUAAUGACGGUACCGGAGGAAUAAGCCCCGGCUAACUUCGUG
RNAcentral lists this ribosomal RNA (437 nucleotides) under uncultured bacterium. Its description in RNAcentral is "partial 16S ribosomal RNA". It matches the Rfam family "Bacterial small subunit ribosomal RNA", at positions 29 to 507 of the family's 1533-position model. The record is from RNAcentral.